This 442-nucleotide ribosomal RNA is filed under the name uncultured bacterium. RNAcentral's name for it is "partial 16S ribosomal RNA". It matches the Rfam family "Bacterial small subunit ribosomal RNA", at positions 338 to 795 of the family's 1533-position model. The record is from RNAcentral.
CCUACGGGGGGCAGCAGUGGGGAAUAUUGGGCAAUGGGCGCAAGUCUGACCCAGCAACGCCGCGUGAAGGAAGAAGGCUUUCGGGUUGUAAACUUCUUUUCUGGGGGACGAGGAAAAGACGGUACCCCCUGAAUAAGCCCCGGCUAACUACGUGCCAGCCGCCGAGGUAAUACGUAGGGUGCAAGCGUUGUCCGGAUUUACUGGGUGUAAAGGGCGUGCAGGCGGAGAGACAAGUCCGAUGUGAAAACCCCGGGCUCAACCCCUGAACUGCAUUUGAAAAUGUUUGUUUUGAGUGUCGGAGAGGUAAUCGGAAUUCCGUGUGUAGCGGUGAAAUGCGUAGAUAUAAGGAAGAACACCAGUGGCGAAGGCGGAUUACUGGACGGUAACUGACGGUGAGGCGCGAAAGCGUGGGGAGCAAACAGGAUUAGAUACCCGAGUAGUC